This 665-nucleotide long non-coding RNA is filed under the name Ananas comosus (pineapple). RNAcentral's name for it is "long non-coding RNA (ACOM_LNC025929)". Lineage: Eukaryota; Viridiplantae; Streptophyta; Magnoliopsida; Poales; Bromeliaceae. The record is from RNAcentral.
AAUUUACUAUUUAUUUUUAUAAAAUAUAAAAUAUAUAAAUAAAUGUUAAAUAAUUUAGACUAUUGGUAUUAGAUAUAAAUAUUAAUUUUAUAAUAUUGAGCAUUCACAUAUAAAUUGUACAUUAAAAAAUAAAAAAAAGAUUGAUGCAGCUUAAGUUAAUUUUAUAUUUGACGAAAGUUAAUUGCGAGAAUCACAAGCAAUGAUUUAUCUUCUCAUUCACUAACUACUGGGGGACUACGAUACCUACGAAAAAUUAUUUCACUAACUAAUGGGGGACUACCAUGCCUACUAAAAAUUUUUGAUAUAUUUAUUGCACCAUUUAUUAUUUCUCAACCCCUUAGAUAUGCAGCCAUGUUUUAAAUAAUUAGUAUGGGAUAAUUUCAUUCGUAUCCUUGAAAAUAUUAAAAAUAUUAUAAAUAACCUUACAAAAUUAGUAAUAUCAAAUCAAACAAAAAAGAACAAGAUGAGAAAAUAUUUAAUACAGUUGAAUAACUAUUUCAAAAUAUCUUAUAGUUGAGAGAGCUCCUUAUAUUUUCUAUAUUAGGGAAGAUAGUUAUAUUUAUUUGAAAUUAUUUCGUAAUCUGUUCGUAACAUUUCAUAAUUAUUCUGAAAUUGAUUUUUAUAACUAAUUUUUAAAAUUAAAUUUUAAAAUAACUACUCGCAGC